AAACAUUUUGUCUGCCGCUCCUCCCGCUCUAGGACGUCACACCACCACCAUUGCAGCGUCGACAUGGCCAAUUUUCCUUCGCCAGUGUGGGUGCGGCGCUACGUGCUCAACUUCAAUGCCGUGGCGCUGGUGCUGCUAGCGGUGCAGAACGCUGGGUUUAUAGUGUUGAUGGGCUACAUCCAGCAGCUGCAAGCUGCUGGUGGUCGGCAGGCAGCACAAGCAGGGAUGAAGACGGUGAAGACGUUUGCCGGGUCUCAUUUUAUGGUAACUGGCGAGGUGAUCAAGCUCUUCAUCUCCAUUGUGUGGUGCGGUGUUGAUGUGCUGUUUGAAAUGCAGAAGGACGCAGAGUCACUACUGCUCCCCCACGGCAACAGCGACGGUACGGGCAAAUCAACCAAGCCAUCUGAAGCGGGUAGCUUUCUCGCGUAUGAGGAGACGUCUGUGAAUUCGCUCGGAGAGAGCUGGUCAUUAUCCCAAGGGUCUACGUCCAUCUACGUCGGUGCCUGUGAAACGCAGGCGAGCAAGAAGGUACUGAAGGAUCAGGAAGUGGCGGUAGCGGCGACUGCGGAAUCGACGGCAAAUGCGGCCCCGCUGCGGGUUCUCUUUGCCCGAAAGAGGUUCGCUGCCGUAUUUCUGAGCCGCAUGCGCCAUGCCAUCGGGCUGGACCACAAGUACAAAGAGACGCUGCUCAUGAUUGUGCCCGCCAUCGUCUACGCUAUCCAGGGGCUGCUGCUCAUCUACUCCCUCAAGCUGUUGGACCCAACCGUGUUUCAGGUCCUGUACCAGGUGCGCAUCCUCUUCCUGGCAGUCAUGAUGCGGGUCGUGCUGGACUUCCGUCUCUCGCCCAUCCGGUGGGGCGCACUGGUGGCGCUGAUGUUUGGCAUCACGCUGGCACAGAUGGGCGCGCAGAGCACGCGAGCGGAUAUGACAACCAGUAAGGCAGAUGACGCUGCACGAUCAGAGAUGGAGAACGCUGCGGCGACCGAAAAGACCUCCAGCACGUGGUCAAUGGAGGGUACACUGGCUGCGCUCGCUGGCGGCUUCCUGAGCGCGUUCUCCGGUGUGUUCAUGGAGUUCGUGGUGAAGAAGCGCGGCAACCAGUUCCACCUGUCGGCGCGCAACACCCAUCUCGCGUUCUUCUCGGUCGUGUACUUCUUUAUUGUGUUCUUGUGCGAGAUCUUCCAGCCGGAAGAGGGGGCGGGCGGGCUUGAUGAGUUCACAAGCACGUUCUUCGACGGCUUCACCAGGCUGGUGUGGUUUCUGGUGGUUCUGCAGGCGAUUGGCGGGAUCCUCGUGGCUCUGGUGGUGCGCUACUGCGACAACAUCCUGAAGUCGUUCUCGACGGCGUUCGCGAUUGUGCUGAGCAGCACGGCGUCCGUGUUUCUGUUCCACACGCCGCUGAACGGGACGUUUCUGCUGGGCUCCUUCCUUGUGCUCACCUCCAUCACCAUGUACACUGUGAGGGAGUGAAGGCGGCUCAGGGGGCCACACUGUCGAAUAGUCUUUUUGUGCGUCUAUGUCCAUGUGCAUGUGCAUGCGUGUGCCUUGUGGCUGGAAUGCGAGGGCUCCUCCUCUGCAGUGUAAAAAAGCGGUGCAGUGCUCUUCGUGGACGCCUGGCAAAUGUGAAGACGGAAACGAAUGGCGGCGUAUCGUCUCAUGGCUGCUGUAUUUUUUGCGUGUAUCGCCUGUCUCCGGAAAGCUCUCUCUCCCUCUCUCACUCCCUGAUAGCGCGCUGCCGACGCUUCGUGCAUCAUGUGCCUGCGUGCGUGUGUGUGGGGCAUCGCCGUUGGAGCUGUGCUUUCGGUGCGCAAGGGGAGGGUGUGAAUGAUGACAAGCCGUGAGCCGUGUGUUUUUUUUUUGUUUCGCCUUCUUACUCUCUGGAUUCUUUGCUCAGCCCCCUCCCACGCAGCCCUGUUCAGCACCAACCCACUCUCUUUCUCUGUGUUACCUCUUCCCCUCCCUGUCGUCGCGCAAUCACCCCAACUUUAGAUGUGGAGAGCGAGAUGGGGAUAGGCAGGGGGGGUCAGGAAGAUGCGGAGGCAGGCCUUUGCGUCCCUCUGUGUGCAUGUGUGGUGGUAGUAAGCAUGUGUGGGUGAGCGGAGGCCGUUUAUUUUUCCCUUUGGGACGUGCGUAUCUGUGUGCCUGUGUCUGUUUGCAUUACACCCGACUCCACGCCCACUCGCUCUCUCUCUCGCUCCUCCCCUCUCUCCGUUUUUUUUUGUUGCCCUUGUUGUCGCGGUUUCGACUUCUCCAUGUGUUGGUGCGCCCACGCGCACACCACUGUUUCCUGAUCAUCCGUGCGCCCGUUUGGCUCGUAUGUGUGUGUGUGUGCGCCCCCAUCGACCCUCCCCCUUGUCCACGUCGAUGAUCUGUUAAACAGAGAUGCCCUCCACCCCUCCCUCCCUCUCACCGUCCCCCUACAGUAAAAAAAAGAGCGGGGGAAGCAAAAAAAAAGCGAAUAGCGAAACAGAGAAAAAAUGUGUGGUUUGGUGUGGUUUGCCGGUGUCUUUUGGUGGUGUGGCAGAAAAUGAGGUAAAGACGUUUGCUUCUCCGGUUGCUUGUUUUUCCUUAUUAUUCUGUUUCUCUACAUAUCCCAUUUUCUGUCUCUCCUAUCUGUUGACCUUUGCAGAGGGAGGGAGGGGGGAAGUGUGUAUGUGUGUGUUGAGGUGUGGAGUGGGGCCUUUCCUAGAUCCUAUGCCGCUGAGCUCACUUGGAUGAAGGCAGCCCCCCACACGUUUUUUUUUUUCGAAGACCUUCUUAUUAUCAUAAAGAGUAACAUACUUUCUCUCGCCAUCGUUUACACACACUUCUUCUCUAAAUUUUGUUUAUGUGGAGUGGCCUUGGUUUUCUUGUGUGUGUGUUGCCUGACGCACCUCUCUCUCUGGCGCAUGUGUUGUCCGCGUCUCGGGGACGCUGCAUAGGGCAAACAGACUAACACACAUACACACACAGCGGCGCGCAUCACUUUUUUUUUUGCGCUGCUCUGUGUGGGCUUAUUCGUUGUUUGAUUCGACAAGCGAGGAAAAGAAAGAGGGCUGCUUGCCGCAGUCGGCUGUCGGUGUAUGGCCUUUCUCUUCCUCCUUCCCUCGCGCCCUUCAUGUUUUCGUAUGGCUUCUUGGUAUGUAUGUCUUCUCUGCAGUUUUUCGGCAUCGCGGGUUUGACCUCUGCCGGUCGCUCUCUCGUUGUAUGCGUAUAUGAAUCUCUGAACGCGUGCGCCUCCCUUAAACGAAGUUGGUUCUCAUCCAGUACGAAGAUUUCAUUGUCUUCUCAUCCCCAGCCGUGUUUUUCCGUAUUGUUUUUAUUUUCGACGUUCGUCUGUUUUCAUUCACUCUCUGAUGAUGCCGGGCAUCUCAGCGUGGUAUCAGAGUGUAGCAUCCACUCUGUGGGGAGGCCAAGCAGCCUGUCGCGGAGCCAAAAAGACUUGCGGCCGUGAUCCUGUUUGGACCAGCUCACGACGAGUCGUGCCGACGGUUCAAGAAACAUAUGUAUCUUUCUUUUUUUCCUGCUUUCGCUGUGCGGCCGUUGUGCUGAGAACCUUGUCCUGGUCCUAGCCCGCCCUGCAUGCACUGAAAUUGAAGUAGGCGGGACGACGCCACGCGGUGUUGAUUGGCCCGGCUCCUUGAAUCCUCGAUACGGAUCUGUGCUCUGCAAGCGAUGCAUUCCACCCCGACACCCCUGCAAGGUGUUUGGACCCCUCUGGUUAUCAGCAUGCCGGUGUAGCGGUAGAGGAGAAGCACCGUUGUGGCGUCUCGGUGCCCACAACGCAGGUCAUGGGCACAGAUUUGUGCCCUCCCCUCGUUCUCAGGGACGAGGUUGCAGCAGUGACGGUCUGACUUUGCGGCGGUGACCCUACUAGACGCAUGUGCCCUCACGUCCGGCCACACAACUAGAAGUGGCCUGGUGACACAGGGAGUUCUCUCGAUGAGAUGCCAGGCAAUGUCGCAGCCAGUCCUCGCUCUAUCAGGACGGAUGCCGACCCGCACCCCCCGCUGUGGGGCACGAAAAGACGACCCGGCCGGGCUUGAGAUCACCGCCGAAAAAAAAAUGGUUCAGUCGCAUACGUGACGUGCGCAAGCGCUAUCGACACCUCCGCAUGGCACCGCGCAGACGGGGCCGCGGAGACAGCACCCUCGCGCUCGACCACCUCAUGGAGGAUGGGGUCACCGUUACCACGAAGCUGAGUGGCCAGUGCGUGGUCGAGCUCGCUGUCCGCUUUGGGGAGGGAUAUGGCCCGGCGCCGCUAGUGAUGGCUGGCACCCCCGUGUGCUCUUUCCACGAAGCGAACAGGAAACCACACCGCGCCGUGGUUGGAAAGUCAGCCGGAAAAGACCGUGCCCACAACAGCCGCAAAGAAGUGAAGAUGCGCGAGCUUCAGAGCGCCGCGCCGGCCUCCACCACUACGACAAGCGGAAAGCGCGCCGGGGAGGGAGGGCGAAUCGACCAUGCAUCCGCACCCACCACAACCCCACUACACAUACGCAAGCCACAUAGUAUACCGCUGAGAUAAGGCAGGUUCGAUACCUCGACUAGUAGCGAAGGCCACCAGGAAAGCUGCCUUUCCUGGUGAAGCCGUCUAUAGUUCAUUCUCGUCGCUAUAGCUGACACGACUGGAAGUCGCUCGUGAGAAGGAAGCCUGCGCGUCGCCAGAACAUUCCCCUCUCGGGGAUGUGGCCAUCAUCGAGCUUGAAAAGGGCGGCUUUGGAGGGUGGAUAGAGUCCUGCAGCGCCUUCACCUCCAGCAGCUUUCGAUCGCGGGCAAGCAUCCACGCUAUCCAUGUCCCCACAUGCACUGCACAAAACAGCAGUGAGACAGGGCGAGCGCCACCUCAGUGCGAGAGAGCAGGCCAACGCACCGGUGACGAUACUCCAACAGAGGUUCAAGCGGCAUCCGGCAGCCCCGCCCCGCCUGCCACUGAGACCCGGGCGCCACGUCUUUCAAACCUCCUAGGAUGAUGGGUGAGCGCGUGGUGGCACCUCAUGAAGCUCACUGCGGUUCCGCCCCGGGCGCCGACUAAGUUCUCUAUGACAGCGUCGAGGUCCUACCAGUGCACGGCAAGAGAGCGCUGGUGAACGUCUAGAACCAGAGCGUUGCCACCGGCUGCGCUCCUGCUGCAUGGAUAAAGUGUCGUAUGGUGCCCCUCCUAAAGCCAAGCAUGCCUCGCGAUAAUUCUGCGUCCUCGGGCCCCAGUGACCCGUGCCCUAACCGUAACCCUAACCCGUGCCCGUACCCCUGGAAGUUACUGGAGCGAAUGGUCUCGCGGCGACUACGCGACCAUCUAGAAGACAGAAUUUCGCCAUAGCACUCUGGCCUCCGUACUCACAAUUCCACCGUGGACCCUGUGGACUUGCCCCUUCGCAGAGCACCACAGCGCCAGCCAAGUGCCAAGACAGGGGCAGUGCUUGCGGAGCCCGCUCUCGCGGUCGACUCGCUAGAACGCAGCGCUAUCAUGGCGCUGGAGAAGUUCAAGCAUCGAGUCCGUGCCGCACCCGCGACAUCAUGAAUUCCUUGAACAGUUGCCGCACCCGUGUUCGGUUCCGCAAGACGACAGCGUAGAUGGCCAAGCUUACACGCCGAGCUCCACAACGAUCAGCUGUAGGCCCUUGUCUUCCUUGUGGCAAACUCGCUGGGUGUGGGGCUCAGCAGGAUCCCCGGGCUGCGCCCCGCCGUCUGCGCCCCGCCGUCUGCGCGGAUGGUCUCACACUCCUGGCACCCUCUGCAGGCAUGGCUAACAUAUGAGCCAUGCGGUCGUUCGCCCCCUGGAAGAGAGAGCGCUGGACACGGGAGCGCUUGGCAGAGCGGAUGGCUCACCCAAAACAAGGUGCACCCUCCUCGGUGUGCGACACCGCAACCCGCUGCCACCCUUUGUCGCACGAAAGUACUUGCAAGCGCAUCUCCACCCUCGGCCUCUCGGCGUGGACGUCCAGCCGAUGCGCAGCGUUGGCCAACACGGUGCAGAAGUAGCCGGGAAAAAAACGGCCCAGCCUCCACCUGCCAUGCAGAGGGUAGGCUGCCCGGGCGCGUGGGGCCCGUGAAAGGGUCCCCUACGCUGUAUCUACAUUGCAUUUUCCGCAUCAGCAGUGCUCUACGGCACUACCUUGUGGUGGGCCAGUGCUAGCGAAACGCCGCACAAGCCCUCAUGAGCACUUUCACACCGUGGCAGUCGCAGUCAUCGUAGGGACCCCCCAAAUUGCGACGGGCAGCCACACCUCAUUAAGGAGGCCCAUCUACAGCGCUUCAACUCCAUAGCUGGUUUUCGCCGCACACGCCGGAUGACGGUGCCGCCACGACCUUUUGCCAGGAGCCACCCGAGUGUGCAAGCAUCCACCCCGUGCGGAGCCGCGAAGGAGCACACACACACACACACACCACUCAUGUGCAGCGGCCGCGUGUGCGCCAACGCAUCGCUCCCUGGUGGUGGCUGCGGGUGGCCCCCUCCCCGAGACGAAGAAAAGCCGGCGGCAUGCCAGCAGCGACUCCCCCGCGUGGCGGAGCUCCCUCGCUCGCCGUGGGCAGAGGGUGCGGCGCAGACAGACAUCAAGUCAGGAGCGGUCGCACUGCCCCCUAGCCCCCACGCACGCAUAGGUGCAGCGACAAGAGGCUGCGGCCCCCUUGGUUGCGCCAUCGCGCUGCACGUGGCGCCGUGGAGCUGGGACGUGUCCUGCUGCGCGGAGAGCCUGACCAGCCACGACGCAGAGGGCCACGCGUGGUCGCUGUUACGGGCUGGCGCUCCCUCCUCGCGGUGCUCGACGCGGCCCCUGCAGGGGCGGAGGGUGGCGUAUCGCGGCGCGCUUGGCCAUCAUUCGUGGCGCUGCGGGCCCGCCGCGCGCGCCCCAUUGCCGCCUGUCUUUGGUCGUGGUGAGCUGGAGCGCGACGGCGACGCUGACGAGCUCGCGACAUCUGCACUGCCGGAGGAGCCAACGCCAAGCCGACAUCCCCUGCCACCCGCGCGACAGACGCGGUCCGCCUAUAUCGCGGCGCGCCGUCCGCACCUUCGCCUCCGUCUGGCGACGAGCGCGCUAGGCGCGUGGCCCGAUUCGGCGGCAGACGGUCCGUCCGAGACGCCCAGGAUGUGACCGUGGGGUGGCAGCGGCGGUGGGCGCGCUGUGGUUGCGCGUAUGCGUCCGUUGGAUGAGCUGUGCACGGUGACAUGGCAUACGGAUGGACGAACAGAUAUGCUUGUUUGCUGUGCCGGAGUGUGCAGGGUCGCUCUGCCUGCCCUUGUCGCGCCUCUCGCCGCCCUCACUCCUCCCCGUCUCCAUGGCGAGGCGAGGCCCUAACGCACCACGUUGCCUGCUUGUCGCCCCAGAAUAUAAAACAUGCAUAUACAGCGCCAAGCGUCCGAAGGAUCUCUCAAGGCCACCCGCGUGAAGCGGCAUCCCCGAGUGUGGGCCGAUGCGGCGGGCGCCUCCCCCCUGUGUCCUCGCAAGCGGUGUGUCUCGCCUGCACCUCCCCAAACGCUCUCUUCCUCAACGCCUCUCUCGCCCUCCACCGUCGCCGCGUGCUCUGACGAAUCUCUCAAG
RNAcentral lists this unclassified non-coding RNA (7520 nucleotides) under Leishmania donovani. RNAcentral describes it as "gene:LdHU3.24.0420(CDS-product:UDP-galactose_tran sporter_putative)". Lineage: Eukaryota; Euglenozoa; Kinetoplastea; Trypanosomatida; Trypanosomatidae. The record is from RNAcentral.